RNAcentral lists this long non-coding RNA (1227 nucleotides) under Phascolarctos cinereus (koala). RNAcentral describes it as "lncRNA (ENSPCIG00000018215.2)". Lineage: Eukaryota; Metazoa; Chordata; Mammalia; Diprotodontia; Phascolarctidae. The record is from RNAcentral.
AAACACUCCACUGGAGGCAGGAAAACUAAGUUAAGAAAGAAUAGGAGGAAGUGUGCUGGCCAUUUAGCCAAACAGUCUUUAAUACAUUGAGCUUAAAAGCUAGCAGCUUUACUGUACUGACUUGGAGUAAACAAAUUGCAUUUUUUCUUUGCCCAGUUCUUAACGGGAUUUGGAUAAUGGAGGUGAUAAGAAUAAUCAAAGCAAGAGAAUAAGAGUUUCUCAGUAUUUAAACAUCUCAGAAGGAACCUUGAGCUGAAGAAAACUGCAGGGAAAUUGAGGGAGAACACCAAAUGACCACAUGUCUUCAGAUUAAGAUAAGAAAACUUCUAGAAAAUAACCCCAGCAACUUGACUUUAAUGGAAAAUACACUGGACUGGGAGUCGGGUUCAGUAAUUGAUUCAUGAGAGAUUGCAGCUGGUGACCAUUUGAAACUGAAGACUUGUGAAAUCCCUGCAGAUUACCACAGAAGCCUGUGAGCUUCUCGUUCUAAAUUUAGUCUUCGUGUAAGUUUCACUUACUAUUCCAGCUCUUCAACAGCUCUCUUUGAUGGUGGAUAUCCACUAGAAAAACAUUGGUGUAAUAUUUCUAUGUGAUAACUCAUCUGGGGUGGCUACUAACAUUUAUUAGAGGCAACAUUGGGUUUGGUGAAAACCACAAGCCAGAACUGGAUUCUCAUCUUGGUUCUCCCAUGCAUUAAUCAUAUGACUUUUGGCAAAGGCAUUUAACUGCUUUGAAUUCAUUUUCAUCAUCUGUAUAACAAGGAUAAUGUUACCUGCCUUUGCUAUUCAGACAUAUUCUGGAGAUGGAAUGAAAUAACACAUAGAAAAGAAUUUUUAAUUUAUUAAGUCAUAUGAUCAUAGAAUGAGAACUAGAAGAAACCAUUAUGGGAAGUAUUAAAAAUAAUAAUAUUUAGAAGAUUCAAUACUUUCAAGAUUCUAGGCUAAGCUUGUGUCCAUAGACAUUUGACUUUUUGGAGUGAUUCUAGUGAAUUGACAAGAAGGUAGGCUCUUUGGGGACAAUGUCUUUAUCUAAUAUAUCAUUAUGUUCUCUACUCAGGGAUGUUCUGAGACUUAAACGCAAUAAUGGGUGUAAACACUUUGCAAACUUUAAAGUGUAUUUAUAAAUGCUAGUUGUUGUUGUUGUUGUUAGCCUAUAGUUACCAGGCUUCCAUUCUGGUGGUGAAUUCAUUCUUUGAACCUUCUGCUGCACCAUUGCUGGACUCAGUGU